GGAUGUGAGGGCGAUCUGGCUGCGACAUCUGUCCUACCCCAUUGAUCGCCAGGGUUGAUUCGGCUUGUCUGGCUGGCUAGGCGGGUGCCCCCUUCCUCCCUCACCGCUCCAUGUGCGUCCUUCUGAAGCUGUGCUUGGUUGAAGAGGACAACCUUACCCCCAUAGAGGACCGUUCUUCAGUCAAGAGUAUACGAGUAGCUGUACUACCCUGCUAGAACCUCCAAACAAGCUCUCUCAAGAGUCACAGUUUAGUUGAGGCUAUAGACAAACUAUAAAAUGCAAUAAGAAACCUUUUUAUGAACAGUCAAG
Molecule: small nuclear RNA, 309 nt
Filed under: Propithecus coquereli (Coquerel's sifaka)
Lineage: Eukaryota; Metazoa; Chordata; Mammalia; Primates; Indriidae
Description: 7SK RNA (ENSPCOG00000006627.1)
Rfam family: 7SK RNA
About the family: 7SK was discovered as an abundant small nuclear RNA in the mid-70s but a possible function has only recently been suggested. Two independent studies have found that 7SK RNA binds the CDK9/cyclin T complex (known as elongation factor P-TEFb).
Source: Rfam by way of RNAcentral